Molecule: ribosomal RNA, 253 nt
Filed under: uncultured bacterium
Lineage: Bacteria
Description: partial 16S ribosomal RNA
Rfam family: Bacterial small subunit ribosomal RNA
Source: RNAcentral
UACAGAGGGUGCAAGCGUUGUUCGGAAUUAUUGGGCGUAAAGCGCGUGUAGGCGGCUUUGCAAGUCGGGUGUGAAAGCCCUCAGCUUAACUGAGGAAGUGCGCCCGAAACUGCAGAGCUUGAGUACCGGAGAGGAUGGCGGAAUUCCCCAAGUAGAGGUGAAAUUCGUAGAUAUGGGGAGGAACACCGGUGGCGAAGGCGGCAUCCUGGACCGGUAUUGACGCUGAUGAGCGAAAGCCAGGGGAGCAAACGGG